RNAcentral lists this ribosomal RNA (495 nucleotides) under uncultured bacterium. Its description in RNAcentral is "partial 16S ribosomal RNA". It matches the Rfam family "Bacterial small subunit ribosomal RNA", at positions 28 to 507 of the family's 1533-position model. The record is from RNAcentral.
GACGAACGCUGGCGGCGUGCCUAAUACAUGCAAGUCGAACGCUGAAGGAGGAGCUUGCUUCUCUGGAUGAGUUGCGAACGGGUGAGUAACGCGUAGGUAACCUGCCUGGUAGCGGGGGAUAACUAUUGGAAACGAUAGCUAAUACCGCAUAACAGUAGAUAUCGCAUGAUAUCUACUUGAAAGGUGCAAUUGCAUCACUACCAGAUGGACCUGCGUUGUAUUAGCUAGUUGGUGAGGUAACGGCUCACCAAGGCGACGAUACAUAGCCGACCUGAGAGGGGGGUCGGCCACACUGGGACUGAGACACGGCCCAGACUCCUACGGGAGGCAGCAGUAGGGAAUCUUCGGCAAAGGACGGAAGUCUGACCGAGCAACGCCGCGGGAGUGAAGAAGGGUGUCGGAUCGGAAAGCUCUGUUGUAAGAGAAGAACGAGUGUGAGAGUGGAAAGUUCACACUGUGACGGUAGCUGACCAGAAAGGGACGGCUAACUACGUG